AUACGUAGGGGGCGAGUGUUGUCCGGAAUGAUUGGGCGUAAAGGGCGCGUAGGCGGCCCGGUAAGUCUGGAGUGAAAGUCCUGUUUUUAAGAUGGGAAUUGCUUUGGAUACUGUCGGGCUUGAGUGCAGGAGAGGUAAGUGGAAUUCCCAGUGUAGCGGUGAAAUACGUAGAGAUUGGGAGGAACACCAGUGGCGAAGGCGACUUACUGGACUGUAACUGACGCUGAGGCGCGAAAGUGUGGGGAGCAAACAGGAUUAGAUACCCUGGUAGUCCACACUGUAAACGAUGAAUGCUAGGUGUAGGGGGUAUCGACCCCUUCUGUGCCGCAGUCAACACAAUAAGCAUUCCGCCUGGGGAGUACGGCCGCAAGGUUGAAACUCAAAUGAAUUGGCGGGG
Molecule: ribosomal RNA, 397 nt
Filed under: uncultured bacterium
Lineage: Bacteria
Description: partial 16S ribosomal RNA
Rfam family: Bacterial small subunit ribosomal RNA
Source: RNAcentral